Molecule: long non-coding RNA, 576 nt
Organism: Corapipo altera (White-ruffed manakin)
Lineage: Eukaryota; Metazoa; Chordata; Aves; Passeriformes; Pipridae
Exons: 5
Source: RefSeq, a predicted model, not a curated record
AACUACGUGCCCUGAACUCGUGUGGGGGCAUUUCUGAGGUCACCAGCCAUCCCUGGGGGAAGUGAGUCAGCAAAAGCAAUAGGUCCAACAGUUAUUUAUCCAUUUAUCCAUUAUUUAUCCUGCAUUUUGAGCAGUGAAGACCAAACCUUCUGCAAUAUGGCCGCUUCUGUAUUGGUUCAUCCAUUUCCAGGGGAAGUGAGACACAAAAUGCCACUCUUUCUUCAGGAGAUCCCUUGUGUGGCUCAGACAGUGAAGAUGCAGAACAAUCAGGUGGAGAUCACACAUCCUCCCCAACUCCUUCAAAGUCCAGUCUGAGGAUUAUGUACUUAAAAACCAGCCUUGGGCUUCAGGCUUCACUUUUCCAUGCUGGUGACCAUCCUUGUCAUGUUGGUCCAGAAACAGCCUUGAUAAACCUUUAGCCCAACAUUUCUUAUGGCUGAGACACCAGGAGAAGCAGAGCCCAGCAGAAUGUGAUGAUUUAGGCCUUUAUCUUGAUUUCCUUGUUAUUUUGUCCUUCUGUCGGCUAUGACACAUGAACCUGGACAGCAUUUAGGAUGAGCUCUGAGACACAGUUCA